UACGUAGGGUGCGAGCGUUAAUCGGAAUUACUGGGCGUAAAGCGCACGUAGGCGGCUUUCUAAGUCGGGGGUGAAAUCCUGGAGCUCAACUCCAGAACUGCCUUCGAUACUGGAAAGCUCGAGUCCGGGAGAGGUGAGUGGAACUGCGAGUGUAGAGGUGAAAUUCGUAGAUAUUCGCAAGAACACCAGUGGCGAAGGCGGCUCACUGGCCCGGUACUGACGCUGAGGUGCGAAAGCGUGGGGAGCAAACAGG
RNAcentral lists this ribosomal RNA (253 nucleotides) under uncultured bacterium. RNAcentral's name for it is "partial 16S ribosomal RNA". It matches the Rfam family "Bacterial small subunit ribosomal RNA", at positions 524 to 776 of the family's 1533-position model. The record is from RNAcentral.